RNAcentral lists this ribosomal RNA (253 nucleotides) under uncultured bacterium. RNAcentral describes it as "partial 16S ribosomal RNA". It matches the Rfam family "Bacterial small subunit ribosomal RNA", at positions 524 to 776 of the family's 1533-position model. The record is from RNAcentral.
GACAGAGGGUGCAAACGUUGCUCGGAUUUACUGGGCGUAAAGCGCAUGUAGGCGGGCGGAUAAGUCGGGUGUGAAAUCCCUGGGCUCAACCUAGGAACUGCAUCCGAAACUGUUCACCUUGAGUAGUGGAGAGGAAAGCGGAAUUCCCGGUGUAGAGGUGAAAUUCGUAGAUAUCGGGAGGAACACCAGUGGCGAAGGCGGCUUUCUGGACACUAACUGACGCUGAGAUGCGAAAGCGUGGGGAGCAAACAGG